Molecule: ribosomal RNA, 1418 nt
Filed under: uncultured organism
Description: 16S ribosomal RNA
Rfam family: Bacterial small subunit ribosomal RNA
Source: RNAcentral
ACACAUGCAAGUCGAACGGAAAGGCCCUGCUUUUGUGGGGUGCUCGAGUAGCGAACGGGUGAGUAACACGUGAGUAACCUGCCCUUGACUUUGGGAUAACUUCAGGAAACUGGGGCUAAUACCGGAUAGGAGCUCCUGCUGCAUGGUGGGGGUUGGAAAGUUUCGGCGGUUGGGGAUGGACUCGCGGCUUAUCAGCUUGUUGGUGGGGUAGUGGCUUACCAAGGCUUUGACGGGUAGCCGGCCUGAGAGGGUGACCGGCCACAUUGGGACUGAGAUACGGCCCAGACUCCUACGGGAGGCAGCAGUGGGGAAUAUUGCACAAUGGGCGGAAGCCUGAUGCAGCAACGCCGCGUGCGGGAUGACGGCCUUCGGGUUGUAAACCGCUUUCGCCUGUGACGAAGCGUGAGUGACGGUAAUGGGUAAAGAAGCACCGGCUAACUACGUGCCAGCAGCCGCGGUGAUACGUAGGGUGCGAGCGUUGUCCGGAUUUAUUGGGCGUAAAGGGCUCGUAGGUGGUUGAUCGCGUCGGAAGUGUAAUCUUGGGGCUUAACCCUGAGCGUGCUUUCGAUACGGGUUGACUUGAGGAAGGUAGGGGAGAAUGGAAUUCCUGGUGGAGCGGUGGAAUGCGCAGAUAUCAGGAGGAACACCAGUGGCGAAGGCGGUUCUCUGGGCCUUUCCUGACGCUGAGGAGCGAAAGCGUGGGGAGCGAACAGGCUUAGAUACCCUGGUAGUCCACGCUGUAAACGGUGGGUACUAGGUGUGGGGUCCAUUCCACGGGUUCCGUGCCGUAGCUAACGCUUUAAGUACCCCGCCUGGGGAGUACGGCCGCAAGGCUAAAACUCAAAGGAAUUGACGGGGCCCCGCACAAGCGGCGGAGCAUGCGGAUUAAUUCGAUGCAACGCGUAGAACCUUACCUGGGUUUGACAUGGAUCGGGAGUGCUCAGAGAUGGGUGUGCCUCUUUUGGGGUCGGUUCACAGGUGGUGCAUGGCUGUCGUCAGCUCGUGUCGUGAGAUGUUGGGUUAAGUCCCGCAACGAGCGCAACCCUUGUUCACUGUUGCCAGCACGUUAUGGUGGGGACUCAGUGGAGACCGCCGGGGUCAACUCGGAGGAAGGUGGGGAUGACGUCAAGUCAUCAUGCCCCUUAUGUCCAGGGCUUCACGCAUGCUACAAUGGCUGGUACAGAGAGUGGCGAGCCUGUGAGGGUGAGCGAAUCUCGGAAAGCCGGUCUCAGUUCGGAUUGGGGUCUGCAACUCGACCUCAUGAAGUCGGAGUCGCUAGUAAUCGCAGAUCAGCAACGCUGCGGUGAAUACGUUCCCGGGGCUUGUACACACCGCCCGUCAAGUCAUGAAAGUUGGUAACACCCGAAGCCGGUGGCCUAACCGUUGUGGGGGAGCCGUCGAAGGUGGGACUGGUGAUU